AUGGCCGCCGCCCUCGCGUCGCCGCGCACCUCGCGGCAGCUCGUCGACGCCCUCACCGCGCACCUCUCCCUCUACCACGCCGCCAACCCUAGCAGCCCCUCCCCUUCCCCAUCCCCCUCCCCCACCCCUCGCGCCGCGAUCCUGCGGUGGCUGGCCGCGCUGCCGCCGCCGGCGCGCGCGGCGGCCUGCACGGCCCUCCUGCCGCCGCCCGCCGCGGCCGCGCUCCUCUCCAUGCUCCGCCGCCUCCGCCUCCGCGGCCACUCCUNNNNNNNNNNNNNNNNNNNNNNNNNNNNNNNNNNNNNNNNNNNNNNNNNNNNNNNNNNNNNNNNNNNNNNNNNNNNNNNNNNNNNNNNNNNNNNCGCCUCGCGCGCGCACGAGCUGCUCUUCGCCCGCGCGCUCCUCUUCACCGCCUCCCCAGCCUCCCCGCGCCCCGAUGCGAUCACGCUCGCCGAGCCCCUCCUGGCCGACCUCGACGCCUUCGUCGCCGCCAUGGACGAGAUCUCCGGCGGGGCCUUCCUCCGCGCAGGCGACGGCGAGGUCGACCUGGCCGCAUUGGCGUCCGAGGAGUUCCCCGAGCUGCCCUGGCUCAAGGCCAAGGGGUACUACGUGAUCGAGGAGUUCGUGGCCAACUGGGUCGAGAUCGCGCUGCGGAUGUCGUGGGCGGCGGCCGCGGCCGGGGGCGGCGUCGGCGGGAAGAAGGCGGUGAGGGUUGGGAGGUGCGUCAAGGAGAAGGCCGGGCUGGCGUCGACGGCCUUCUGGAGGGAGAAGGGGUAUGUGGACUGGUGGAUGCGGCUGGAGCCCCGGGUGAGAGCAAGGAUCACAGGAGCCUUCUUCGGGAAGAGUGCAAAGGCGCUGGCUAAUGAGAUUGAAGGAUCAGAUGUUGCUUCUAGCGAUUCUGGAUCAUUUCUUGCAGACAGUAUGUAUGGAAGUACACGGCAGUCUUUUUUCAGAAAGAAUCAACCUGGUUGCGGCGAUGUUGCAAGCAUUCUGUCUUGUAAAAAGAAGCCUGCUUUUGCUAAAGAAUUAAAAAGAUUGCUGGUGCUUCAGGAGAUAGUGUGUUUAAAGAGCAAUAUUACUUACUGUGGCGGUGAUGCAAUCUUUCUCACUUCAUUAAUGUCAGCUGGCACUGUUGCUGACAAUAUACUCAUGAGAUUACGAAGACUUCUCAUGGUGGUGUCGACGGAAAGUAUAAAGUUGGAGCUCAUUGGGGAUGGAGCAUCAAAUAAUCCAAAAAAGAAUGUUGAAAAGACAAGUGUAGGUUCUCGAAAAGGAAAGAAGAAGUCUAGUAGCUCGAAAAAGCUAGCAGCGUCUUCCAAGUCGUCCAAGGACAAUGGAGGCAGUAGCACAGAAACAAGAAAUUCUAGGAUUGUGUCAAAGUCAAACCAGCAGACUCCAUCUGUUCGAUGCACUAUUAAUGGACCCGCUUCUGAAGAAACUCCUUGCAAAGAAAUUGCACCAAUACCAAAGGCGGAGCAAGCUAUCAGGUUGGCUGACUGCAAUAAUCAAUGUAACAAAAAGAAAAACAAACGUAAAGGGAAAGCAAAACUCUCUGAUCUUUUGAGAGCUGAGAACCCUGGACCUGGCAAAUUGAAGACAGCUGUUGCUCAUGUUGCUACAGAAGCCUUUCAUAAAUCUCCCGAAGCAGUAGAUGCCCCACUGUGUGUCCCAUCUCAUGCGCAUAUUUCCAGUAAUGACAUCCCUGAAGCAGUGGGUUGUUCUGAGUCAUCAAGUAUCUUUGAUGGAACUGAAGAAAAAGGCAUCAAAAGCAGCAGAAAACUGGAAGAUACCUUACGUUCUUCUAUGGUUAUCUCAUCAGUAACCACAGAGUGUUGUCAGAGUGCACAAAAACCUGCCAACUUCAGUGUGAAUGAGCAGAGCCCAUCACGCAGUAGUCAAAAUGAAUUCAUUGUCCAACCAUCUUUAUGUUCACCUUCCAGUAGUGAUAAUGUUUUAUCUGGUAAUCCAUGCAGAAACUCUGCUGACUCCUUGGUAAGAUCUGCACAGGAUAAGACUGGCUGUGAUAUAACACAGGGAGCUUUGCAUGGACUUCCUCCUGGUGUUGGUAAAGGAUAUGAGAAACAAAUGGAUCACAGCUCUGUAGUGACAACCGACAAACUUUUACCAUCAGUCAUUCCUGCCAACAUUCUCCAAAGUGCUAUAAGCGACAAUGGUACAGCAGUGAAGAAUGGUGUAGAUGAAUAUUAUGCAUUCAACCGGAACUUGCUGGGAGGAACAUCAUACGAGUGGCCUAGUGUAGCACCCCAUUUUGUAUCACCUGAAAUGCAACAGCGCCCUGCUGCAGCAGACAGGUUGCAUCUUGAUGUUGGUUACAGAUGGCCUACUCCAUUUAACCAACCUUUCAUUCCUGCCAACCAUCAGGUGAGAAGCUCACCAGUUGAAUCUGGAUGCAAUCAAAUGUUAUCUUCUUUGUCAGUGCCCUUAAGUUUUGAUUGGCCUCCUGUUUUCAGAGGUUAUGGUAAACUGACUCAAAAUGCUGCUUUAAGUUAUGAUCCGGUAUUUGCCCCACAUAUGCAGUCUUCUGCUUGGCCUGGGUUUCCUGCUCAACUAAUUCAGAGAGGUGGCAUUUGCAGUGAAAAAGAUAGGAAAUAUUUUAGCGAUAGUGACCCAAGAAACACAUCAGAUGUUGGGGAUGAUACUGAAAGCUAUUGGUUUUCUGAAGAAGAAUCAGACGGCCGUGCAACUUCUGGAAGAGAUAUUAAUCAAUAUUUUGGCGGUGGCGUGAUGUAUUGGAGUCCUGCAGAACAUGCCGGAACGGGCUUUUCUAGGCCACCAUCUCUUAGUUCAGAUGACAGUGCUUGGGCAUGGCAUGAGGCAGAUGUUAGUCGAGUUGUUGACGAUCUGGCUAUUGGGAUUCCAUCAUCAACAUAUAAUGCAAAUGGUGCAUCGUCACCACCAUCCAGCCCAAGCCCAUCCUGUUCCCAGCAUGAAACUUCUGAUCCUUCCCCUCAGCCUGCUUGUCACUCAGUGGCAGGGAAUGACAUCAACAAUGAAGCUUCACAUUCUCCAUCUUCUACGCAAGACAGUCCUGAAGAUAAGACUACUUCGGCUGUAAAGAGUCCAUCUUGUGCCAGUGAAGUAAAGGGGGAUACACUACCAUAUGCAAUGCUGCGGCCAAUAGUUGUUUCUAAUAUAUCACGAAGGCUAUCAAGAUCUGACUUUAGGGGUGGUCAUGAUCACAGGAGCCCAUGUGUGUCUUCGACCAGGAGGGAUAUACCUCUUGUAAGAAGACCUCCAUCGCCAGUAUUACUUAGUGUUCCUCGCAUGCCUCGGCCACCUCCUCCUUCUCCUGUUGGAGAAUCAAGAAAACGUGGAUUCCCAAUUGUUAGAUCCGGCAGUUCAAGCCCGCGGCAUUGGGGGAUGAGAAGUUUGUUUUCUGAUGAUAAAAUUUUCAAUAGGGCUCAGUUUUGCUUGGAUGGCCCUGAAGUUGUAUGGCCUUCAUGGGUGAAUAAAGGCACCUCUACUGGUACACUGGUACAAUCAAUUGAGGAUACUGUCUUGCAGGACCACCUUGUUAAGAUUUCACAGCUUUCACGUGAUCAACAUCCAGAUGUUGCAGUUCCUUUGCAGCCACCUGAUAUGUUAAAUGGUUCACCUCACAAGGCAUCCCUUUCUUUGAUGCACAAUGCUCUACAUGAAGAGAUUGAUCAAUUCUGUAAGCAGGUUGCUGCUGCAAAUCUGGUGACGAAGCCCUAUAUAAAUUGGGCUGUCAAAAGGGUCACACGGUGCCUGCAAGUUCUCUGGCCUCGCUCGCGUACAAAUCUAUUUGGCUCAAAUGCCACUGGUUUGGCCCUUCCAACUAGUGAUGUAGAUCUCGUGGUUUCUCUCCCCCCAGUCCGAAAUCUGGAACCUAUUAAAGAAGCUGGAAUUUUGGAAGGCCGCAAUGGCAUUAAGGAAACAUGCCUCCAGCAUGCGGCAAGGUGCCUUGGAAAUCAGGACUGGGUUAGGAGUGAUUCCCUCAAAACGAUUGAAAACACAGCAAUACCUGUGAUCAUGCUUGUAGCCCAAGUACCUUGUGACACAAAUAUGUCCAAUGACCCUUCUGUUCUGGAUAGCUCACAAGAAAUUUCAGUCAAUGUGCUUGGGGAGCAAGGGAGCCCUCCUCGUUCUGACAAUUCUAUUUCAGAAGGCAGCAACGCACUUGCGGGCUCAAAAAUGAAGGAUGAUUGUGAUGCUGUGCGGUCAAUUCGUCUUGAUAUAAGUUUCAAAUCACCAUCCCACACAGGACUCCAGACUACUGAGUUGGUUGGUGAGCUGACUCAGCAAUUUCCUGCGGCUUUACCCCUUGCAUUAAUCAUGAAGAAGUUUUUGGCAGAUCGUAGUUUGGACCACCCAUAUUCGGGUGGUCUAAGCUCUUACUGUUUGGUGUUGUUAAUCACUCGUUUUCUUCAGCAUGAACAUCAUCUUGGUCGGCCUAUUAACCAAAAUCUAGGGAGCCUUUUGAUGGAUUUCCUGUAUUUUUUUGGGAAUGUGUUUGAUCCACGCCAUAUGCGUAUUUCCAUCCAAGGAAGUGGAAUUUAUUUGAACCGAGAAAGAGGGCACAGCAUUGAUCCAAUUCAUAUCGAUGACCCUCUUUGCCCUGCUAACAAUGUGGGCCGGAAUUGUUUCCGAAUCCAUCAAUGCAUCAAGGCUUUUGCUGAUGCUUUUGCAGUUCUAGAGAACGAGCUACUGCAGUUCACUGCAGAAUGUAACAUGCCUGCAUCAUCAUUUAGCCUACUGAAGAAAAUAAUUCCAAGUAUUGAUUCUAAUGAGUUGUAGCAAUGAAAAGAACCUGUGAGUCCACAAGCUACAUGAACUGUUGGGUUGGAAUGGCCUCUGCUUGUGUUCUGGACUCUGAGUUACUACUGCAGCUGGUGGAAAAGGCUUGUUCGAAGGUACGAUGCCAGCUGCCCUCCUCUCGCCUCUGGCUGUUUAGAACCCGAGACCGUUAUUUGAGGUAUUAGCCUGAAUUGGAUGAUUCAAGAGCAAGAUAGGGUUGCACUCUGCACACAGAAGAUGCUGAACCUCGUGCCAGUGGUAUGUGCUGCCAAGGAUGCGGAAAUGGACUCGCCUAAUGAUGUGUGCUGCCAGACCUAUAAGGUCACGGAGGAGCAGUACAGCAGAUCCACACAGAACUCCGGAUCCGGAGGAGCAGCACGCAGGAUAUGAUCUAGCAGAGGCUCUACAUAUUUUCUGAAUCAUCUGUUCUCUGAACCUUAGAAAAUGCUGAAGAAAAGAAGAUCAAAAUCCGUAUGGCGCGCCGAGUCCUUCGUGCUUUUGGCAGUCCGCAUCAGCUUGUGGAACAGAACAGGAAACGGAGAAAUGCUACGGAGGAGGUUACCUCUAUUCUGAAACAAAGAAUGAAUCGACUCCUACGUGUGGCCUGUACCGGACUUGUACUGGAAGUGGCAACUGAUAUAGCAACGUGAUUGUUCUCCCGUGGAGUAAGAUUGUUCCCCGGACACACCAAGAGGGUAACUGCGAAGAUAACUGCAAGUGAUCUCGAGUGCCAGAUUCUUCGUUGCAGUCACUCGCCAACGGGUUUGCCGAGUUACUCUUCUUCAGAGACAAGUUAGAGCAUCAGAAACAUGGUCAGGUGACGGCAUUGGCUCUGUCUUACAAAAGCAGACUUCGUUUUCCUGCAGCUGAUGAGAGUCAAGUUGCUGCUUUUAUAGCGAGGCAGACUUCAGUUCCUGCAGCCGAUGAGAUUUAAAAUGCCGCUUUUGCAGUUUACUCCAACACAAAUUUGGAAGUAGCAUGUUCUUGACUUGUUGCGCUGAUGUUCUUCCUUUUUCUUUCUCGAGAAAGUAUCGACUAAUAUUUUUACAAUUACCUUGAUGAAUAUCUGCCAUUUUUCAUCACUAAAUUUGUUCACAACUACUCCAUCCGUUCCUAAAU
This 5895-nucleotide ribosomal RNA is filed under the name Triticum aestivum (bread wheat). RNAcentral's name for it is "partial small subunit ribosomal RNA". The record is from RNAcentral. Lineage: Eukaryota; Viridiplantae; Streptophyta; Magnoliopsida; Poales; Poaceae.